RNAcentral lists this ribosomal RNA (447 nucleotides) under uncultured bacterium. RNAcentral describes it as "partial 16S ribosomal RNA". It matches the Rfam family "Bacterial small subunit ribosomal RNA", at positions 29 to 523 of the family's 1533-position model. The record is from RNAcentral.
AACGAACGCUGGCGGCAGGCCUAACACAUGCAAGUCGAACGCCCCGCAAGGGGAGUGGCAGACGGGUGAGUAACGCGUGGGAACCUACCCAGUGGUACGGAACAACCCAGGGAAACUUGGGCUAAUACCGUAUACGCCCCCAGGGGGAAAGAUUUAUCGCCAUUGGACGGGCCCGCGUUGGAUUAGCUAGUUGGUGGGGUAAUGGCCUACCAAGGCAACGAUCCAUAGCUGGUCUGAGAGGAUGAUCAGCCACACUGGGACUGAGACACGGCCCAGACUCCUACGGGAGGCAGCAGUGGGGAAUCUUGGACAAUGGGCGCAAGCCUGAUCCAGCCAUGCCGCGUGAGUGAAGAAGGCCCUAGGGUUGUAAAGCUCUUUCGGCGGGGACGAUAAUGACGGUACCCGCAGAAGAAGCCCCGGCUAACUCCGUGCCAGCCGCCGCCGUAA